AGCUCCGACCAUGUCUGCUCUGAUUUCAAUUCUCUCUGUUCUGAAAUCUUCCAGAUGCUUCUGGAUAUUUUCCCUCUCUUGCUAACAAUAAAAUCUUCCCCCCAGUAACAAAGCAGCCGUGCCGGCGGUUUCUUUACUGUGUCCCUGACGCACAUUACCCCCCCCUUUUCCAGGGCCGCACCACCGCUGCAGACUUAAGCUGGUGAACCGUAAAGGAGGCGCAGUGUGGGGCACGGCUCGCAGUGUAGGUAAAAUUUCAGAAGCUAUGGCCCUGGACCCUGCAGCUUCCAGGAUGCUGAUGCACAAAGAGAGCCCAAGUACCGCUUCUGAACCCCCACUAAGGAGUGAGUGAUGGCAGCCCAGAAGGGUGUGCCCGUGUCCAAACACUGGGAUCUGGCAGAGAAGAGUGUGCCCAACCAUCAUACCACGAAUGCCACACAGUCUCUUAAGUGUCGAGGUCUCGGUGUUAGAGGGGAGCUUGCCCAGAGACAUUUCUACUGGGUCCCUACCACCUAGGGCGUCCAGCACCUCCAUCAAGGUCCAGUUUCUCCUGCGAUCACCCACGAUGUCCUGAGACCGGCUACUCAGAAGAAAACCACAGUCCAGAGACUUUCAAGGAACAGAGAUCAUGUGCCUACAUCUCCAAACUGUGGUCUAACAGUUUCUCUAAAAGGUCGGCUAUUAUUUAUAGACUGGGAAAUGCAUCAUUCAAGUGUGCAGAGUGGAUUUGUACAAAUUCAUGCACUCGGGGGCUGCCACCUGGAGAGAGCUGGGGCCUAGGAUGCUGGGAGCUGACCUCCAGGGAGUGUGGAGGGCAUUCUUCUUCUGAACAAGCCAGGAGUUCCAGCCUCAGCACCACAGGAAACAGAUACAGUGCUGCCUGGUCCAGGUGGCUGCUCUGCGGUCACAUCAUGCUGAUGGGAGCUAGAAACGGCCCACUGACCACACAACUUUUCUGUACAUCUGGAGUGAUAGCAGUUAGUCAAUCUGCUUUGCAGCUGGGAAACUGAUGAACUCUUAAGUGUAGAUCAACAAAGUCCACUGGGGAAAACGUGUUAGAAAUGCUGUUAAUCUGUAUUUGAAAGUAUUUCUGUACAAAAUAAAUAUUGCCUCUGUGUUGGCAAUGUUC
Long non-coding RNA from Meriones unguiculatus (Mongolian gerbil), 1129 nucleotides. RefSeq lists it as uncharacterized. The transcript is spliced from 3 exons. NCBI's taxonomy places the organism in Eukaryota, Metazoa, Chordata, Mammalia, Rodentia, Muridae. The record is from RefSeq and is a predicted model, not a curated record.